Molecule: long non-coding RNA, 575 nt
Organism: Capsicum annuum
Lineage: Eukaryota; Viridiplantae; Streptophyta; Magnoliopsida; Solanales; Solanaceae
Exons: 2
Source: RefSeq, a predicted model, not a curated record
AAAUCAAACAUUCAUCGGUUAUGAAUAUGAAAAGAUAAGGAGGAGAAAAUUUCACAGAAAAAACAACUAAAGAGGGAGAAAUGCAACUGGUAUUAGGCGCUACUACUAUGUGAUGUUGUUUAAGAAAAUGAAGAUUUGUCUUUAUUGGUUUUAUUGGGAAACUAGCUUAAAUGUUAGAUCCACCUACGCAGCAGAUAAGGAAGAUGAACAAAGGAGUAAGGCUCACAAAGCAAUCAGAAGAUUUAAUGAAUUAUUGGUGGCCUCUGCUGUUGCUGAUUUUUUACCUUAUCUAAGAUGGCUGGAUAUUGGUGGCCAUGAGAAAGCUAUGAAAGAGACUGCUAAAGAAGUGGACUGCCUUGUUGAAGAUUGGUUAGCAGAGCACAAAAGAAAGAGGAAAUAAACCAGGAGAUGAAGAAGAUUUCAUGGACGUCAUGUUGUCCAUUUGUGAAGACAAAGGUCUUUAUGGUUUUGAUGCUGAUGCCGUUAUCAAAGCUACUUGUUUGGUACGGUUUUAGUUAUAAACAUCGUUUACAGUGGUAAAAUAUUUAAGAUUUGAAGCUUAUGAUUUCUAUGAA